Molecule: ribosomal RNA, 478 nt
Filed under: uncultured bacterium
Lineage: Bacteria
Description: partial 16S ribosomal RNA
Rfam family: Bacterial small subunit ribosomal RNA
Source: RNAcentral
GACGAACGCUGGCGGCGUGCUUAACACAUGCAAGUCGAACGGUAAGGCCCUUCGGGGUACACGAGUGGCGAACGGGUGAGUAACACGUGGGUGAUCUGCCCUGCACUUCGGGAUAAGCCUGGGAAACUGGGUCUAAUACCGGAUAGGACCCUGGGAUGCAUGUCCUGGGGUGGAAAGCUUUUGCGGUGUGGGAUGGGCCCGCGGCCUAUCAGCUUGUUGGUGGGGUGAUGGCCUACCAAGGCGAGGACGGGUAGCCGGCCUGAGAGGGUGACCGGCCACGCUGGGAAUGAGAUCAGGCCCAGACUCCUACGGGAGGCAGCAGUGGGGAAUAUUGCACAAUGGGCGCAAGCCUGAUGCAGCGACGCCGCGUGAGGGAUGACGGCCUUCGGGUUGUAAACCUCUUUCAGCACCGACGAAGCGCAAGUGACGGUAGGUGCAGAAGAAGGACCGGCCAACUACGUGCCAGCCGCCGCGGUAA